AGUAUUUGNUUCUCGGAAGGACUAGAUAUGAAUAUUGAAUAAUCAGACAUAGUACCGAUAAGGUUGUAUGUCUAAAGGGAAACAGCCCAGAACAAGAGUUAAUAAGGUUCCAAAAUUAUUGUUAAGUGAAAUUAAGGCAGUAUUUAUCCAAAUCGGCCAGGGAAUAGGCUUAGAAGCGGCCAUUUUCUGAAGACCUCGUAACAGAGCACUGGUCUUGUUUUAAUGAUAAUAGGGAUAAAAGCACCGAAAAUUUAACGGAUCUAAACAAUAUACCGAGACCUUGUCCAAAUAUAUUAAUGUAUCUAAAUUUUACAUUGUAUAUUAGGGGUAGCGGAACAUUGGGGAAGUUUCUUAUUAUGCCUUUAUAAGGCAUAAAAAUAAUUAACAACCCAAGCGAGAAUGCUGACAUGAGUAACGAUAAAGGGGAAUACCCUCGCCUAAAGCUUAUGGAAUUUAAUUAAAGUUACGGCCUCUAAGUUUAUUAUAUAUUUAAUGAAUAAUCUGUUAUUUAUUAAUAAUCCCAAAGGGGGUAAACGAUGAGCAAAUCUAAGAUUUAUAGAAAAUAUCAUUUUUACAUAGUGACAAAUGAUCUGGAAAACUGUAUAUCUCAUUUGCUAAAUAGGAAUAAACUAAAACAGAUGAUAUNUUUAGCAGAUGGUUACCGUACCUAAAUACUACCA
This 680-nucleotide ribosomal RNA is filed under the name Pseudevernia furfuracea. RNAcentral's name for it is "LSU rRNA". The stretch from base 1 to 407 matches the Rfam family "Bacterial large subunit ribosomal RNA", at positions 943 to 1301 of the family's 2925-position model. The record is from RNAcentral. Lineage: Eukaryota; Fungi; Ascomycota; Lecanoromycetes; Lecanorales; Parmeliaceae.